GGAGGUGGCAAGCGUUACUCGGAAUUAUUGGGUGUAAAGGGUAAGUAGGCGGUCUAUUAAGUGAGGGGUGAAAUCUUCCGACUCAAUCGGAAAACUGCCUUUCAAACUAAUAGACUUGAGGUUGGAAGGGGGAAACGGAAUUAGCAGUGUAAGGGUGAAAUCUGUAGAUAUUGCUAAGAACACCGGCGGCGAAGGCGGUUUCCUGGUCCAAAUCUGACGCUAAAUUACGAAAGCUAGGGGAGCGAACAGAAUUAGAUACCCUGGUAGUCCUAGCUGUAAACGAUGAGCACUAGGUGUUGGUCCUUCGGGAUCAGUGCCCGCAGCUAACGCAUUAAGUGCUCCACCUGGGGACUACGGCCGCAAGGCUA
This 368-nucleotide ribosomal RNA is filed under the name uncultured organism. RNAcentral describes it as "partial 16S ribosomal RNA". It matches the Rfam family "Bacterial small subunit ribosomal RNA", at positions 527 to 896 of the family's 1533-position model. The record is from RNAcentral.